AAUCAACGCUGGCGGCGCGCCUCAGACAUGCAAGUCGAACGAUUAAAGCUCUCUUCGGAGAGUGUAUAGAGUGGCGCACGGGUGAGUAACACGUAAGUAAUCUACCUUUGAGUGGGGAAUAACAGUCGGAAACGGCUGCUAAUACCGCAUAAUGCAGCGGCAUCGCAAGAUGACAGUUGUUAAAGGAGCAAUCCGCUUAAAGAGGAGCUUGCGGCAGAUUAGCUUGUUGGUAAGGUAACGGCUUACCAAGGCUACGAUCUGUAUCCGGUCUAAGAGGACGGUCGGACACACUGACACUGAAUAACGGGUCAGACUCCUACGGGAGGCAGCAGUCGGGAAUUUUGGGCAAUGGGCGAAAGCCUGACCCAGCAACGCCGCGUGAAGGAUGAAGUAUUUCGGUAUGUAAACUUCGAAAGAAUAGGAAGAAUAAAUGACGGUACUAUUUAUAAGCUCCGGCUAACUACGUGCCAGCCGCCGCA
This 479-nucleotide ribosomal RNA is filed under the name uncultured bacterium. Its description in RNAcentral is "bacterial SSU rRNA". It matches the Rfam family "Bacterial small subunit ribosomal RNA", at positions 32 to 519 of the family's 1533-position model. The record is from RNAcentral.